Molecule: ribosomal RNA, 253 nt
Filed under: uncultured bacterium
Lineage: Bacteria
Description: partial 16S ribosomal RNA
Rfam family: Bacterial small subunit ribosomal RNA
Source: RNAcentral
UACGGAGGAUGCAAGCGUUAUCCGGAUUCACUGGGUUUAAAGGGUGCGCAGGCGGAAUUGUAAGUCAGUGGUGAAAGCCCGCAGCUUAACUGCGGAACUGCCAUUGAUACUAUGGUUCUUGAGUGUGGUUGAGGUGGGCGGAAUGUGUAAUGUAGCGGUGAAAUGCUUAGAUAUUACACAGAACACCGAUUGCGAAGGCAGCUCACUAAGCCACUACUGACGCUCAUGCACGAAAGCGUGGGGAUCAAACAGG